GCAGCCUGAUGCAGCAACGCCGCGUGAGGGACGACGGCCUUCGGGUUGUAAACCUCUUUUAGCAGGGAAGAAGCGAAAGUGACGGUACCUGCAGAAAAAGCACCGGCUAACUACGUGCCAGCAGCCGCGGUAAUACGUAGGGUGCAAGCGUUAUCCGGAAUUAUUGGGCGUAAAGAGCUCGUAGGCGGUUUGUCGCGUCUGCUGUGAAAACCCGAGGCUCAACCUCGGGCCUGCAGUGGGUACGGGCAGACUAGAGUGCGGUAGGGGAGAUUGGAAUUCCUGGUGUAGCGGUGGAAUGCGCAGAUAUCAGGAGGAACACCGAUGGCGAAGGCAGAUCUCUGGGCCGUAACUGACGCUGAGGAGCGAAAGGGUGGGGAGCAAACAGGCUUAGAUACCCUGGUAGUCCACCCCGUAAACGUUGGGAACUAGUUGUGGGGUCCAUUCCACGGAUUCCGUGACGCAGCUAACGCAUUAAGUUCCCCGCCUGGGGAGUACGGCCGCAAGGCUAAAACUCAAAGGAAUUGACGGGGACCCGCACAAGCGGCGGAGCAUGCGGAUUAAUUCGAUGCAACGCGAAGAACCUUACCAAGGCUUGACAUAUACGAGAACGCUGCAGAAAUGUAGAACUCUUUGGAC
RNAcentral lists this ribosomal RNA (636 nucleotides) under Microbacterium sp. So1Ps_552. RNAcentral describes it as "bacterial SSU rRNA". It matches the Rfam family "Bacterial small subunit ribosomal RNA", at positions 378 to 1027 of the family's 1533-position model. The record is from RNAcentral. Lineage: Bacteria; Bacillati; Actinomycetota; Actinomycetes; Micrococcales; Microbacteriaceae.